This 448-nucleotide ribosomal RNA is filed under the name uncultured bacterium. RNAcentral's name for it is "bacterial SSU rRNA". It matches the Rfam family "Bacterial small subunit ribosomal RNA", at positions 29 to 524 of the family's 1533-position model. The record is from RNAcentral.
AACGAACGCUGGCGGCAUGCCUAACACAUGCAAGUCGAACGAAGCCUUCGGGCUUAGUGGCGCACGGGUGCGUAACACGUGGGAAUCUGCCCUUCGGUUCGGAAUAACAGUUAGAAAUGACUGCUAAUACCGGAUGAUGACGAAAGUCCAAAGAUUUAUCGCCGAAGGAUGAGCCCGCGUAGGAUUAGGUAGUUGGUAGGGUAAUGGCCUACCAAGCCGACGAUCCUUAGCUGGUCUGAGAGGAUGAUCAGCCACACUGGGACUGAGACACGGCCCAGACUCCUACGGGAGGCAGCAGUGGGAAUAUUGGACAAUGGGCGAAAGCCUGAUCCAGCAAUGCCGCGUGAGUGAUGAAGGCCUUAGGGUGUAAAGCUCUUUUACCAGGGAUGAUAAUGACAGUACCUGGAGAAUAAGCUCCGGCUAACUCCGUGCCAGCAGCCGCGGUAAU